Molecule: ribosomal RNA, 773 nt
Filed under: uncultured bacterium
Lineage: Bacteria
Description: bacterial SSU rRNA
Rfam family: Bacterial small subunit ribosomal RNA
Source: RNAcentral
AGAGUUUGAUCCUGGCUCAGAACGAACGCUGGCGGCGUGCUUAACACAUGCAAGUCGAACGGAAAGGCCCUUCGGGGUACUCGAGUGGCGAACGGGUGAGUAACACGUGGGUGAUCUGCCCUGCACUUUGGGAUAAGCCUGGGAAACUGGGUCUAAUACCGAAUACACCUCGCUGGCCGCAUGGUCUGGUGGGGGAAAGCUUUUGCGGUGUGGGAUGGGCCCGCGGCCUAUCAGCUUGUUGGUGGGGUGAUGGCCUACCAAGGCGACGACGGGUAGCCGGCCUGAGAGGGUGACCGGCCACACUGGGACUGAGAUACGGCCCAGACUCCUACGGGGGGCAGCAGUGGGGAAUAUUGCACAAUGGGCGCAAGCCUGAUGCAGCGACGCCGCGUGGGGGAUGACGGCCUUCGGGUUGUAAACCCCUUUCAGCACAGACGAAGCGCGAGUGACGGUAUGUGCAGAAGAAGGACCGGCCAACUACGUGCCAGCAGCCGCGGUAAUACGUAGGGUCCGAGCGUUGUCCGGAAUUACUGGGCGUAAAGAGCUCGUAGGUGGUUUGUCGCGUUGUUCGUGAAAACUCACAGCUCAACUGUGGGCGUGCGGGCGAUACGGGCAGACUAGAGUACUGCAGGGGAGACUGGAAUUCCUGGUGUAGCGGUGGAAUGCGCAGAUAUCAGGAGGAACACCGGUGGCGAAGGCGGGUCUCUGGGCAGUAACUGACGCUGAGGAGCGAAAGCGUGGGGAGCGAACAGGAUUAGAUACCCUAGUAGUCC